GACGAACGCUGGCGGCGUGCCUAAUACAUGCAAGUAGAACGCACAGUUUAUACCGUAGCUUGCUACACCAUAAACUGUGAGUUGCGAACGGGUGAGUAACGCGUAGGUAACCUGCCUGGUAGCGGGGGAUAACUAUUGGAAACGAUAGCUAAUACCGCAUAAUAUUGAUUAUUGCAUGAUAAUUGAUUGAAAGAUGCUAUUGCAUCACUACCAGAUGGACCUGCGUUGUAUUAGCUAGUAGGUGAGGUAACGGCUCACCUAGGCGACGAUACAUAGCCGACCUGGGAGGGUGAUCGGCCACACUGGGACCGGGACACGGCCCAGACUCCUACGGGAGGCAGCAGGAGGGAAUCUUCGGCAAUGGACGAAAGUCUGACCGAGCAACGCCGCGUGAGUGAAGAAGGGUUUCGGAUCGUAAAGCUCUGUUGUAAGAGAAGAACGGGUGUGAGAGUGGAAAGUUCACACUGUGACGGUAUCUUACCAGAAAGGGACGGCUAACUACGUG
This 505-nucleotide ribosomal RNA is filed under the name uncultured bacterium. RNAcentral describes it as "partial 16S ribosomal RNA". It matches the Rfam family "Bacterial small subunit ribosomal RNA", at positions 28 to 507 of the family's 1533-position model. The record is from RNAcentral.